RNAcentral lists this ribosomal RNA (465 nucleotides) under uncultured bacterium. Its description in RNAcentral is "partial 16S ribosomal RNA". It matches the Rfam family "Bacterial small subunit ribosomal RNA", at positions 28 to 507 of the family's 1533-position model. The record is from RNAcentral.
GACGAACGCUGGCGGCGUGCUUAACACAUGCAAGUCGAACGGAAAGGCCCUGCUUGCAGGGUACUCGAGUGGCGAACGGGUGAGUAACACGUGGGUGAUCUGCCCUGCACUUCGGGAUAAGCCUGGGAAACUGGGUCUAAUACCGGAUAGGAGCCAUUUUUAGUGUGAUGGUUGGAAAGUUUUUUCGGUGUAGGAUGAGCUCGCGGCCUAUCAGCUUGUUGGUGGGGUAAUGGCCUACCAAGGCGGCGACGGGUAGCCGGCCUGAGAGGGUGGACGGCCACAUUGGGACUGAGGUGCGGCACAGACUGCUACGGGAGGCAGCAGUGGGGAAUAUUGAACAAUGGGCGCAGGCCUGAUGCAGCGACGCCGCGUGGGGGAUGACGGCCUUCGGGUUGUAAACUCCUUUCGCUAGGGACGAAGCUUUUUGUGACGGUACCUAGAUAAGAAGCACCGGCUAACUACGUG